AUGCAGUCGACGGGCUCUUCGGAGCAAGUGGCGGACGGGUGAGUAACGCGUGAGAAUGUGCCUUGAGGAUGGGGAUAACAAUAGGAAACUAAUGCUAAGACCCAAUGUGCCUUAAGAGGUGAAAAAUGAAAAUUGCCUGAAGAGGAGCUCGCGUCUGAUUAGCUAGUUGGGGUGGUAAAAGCGCACCAAGGCAACGAUCAGUAGCUGGUCUGAGAGGAUGAGCAGCCACACUGGGACUGAGACACGGCCCAGACUCCUACGGGAGGCAGCAGUGGGGAAUUUUCCGCAAUGGGCGAAAGCCUGACGGAGCAAUACCGCGUGAGGGAGGAAGGCUCUUGGGUUGUAAACCUCAAAACUUAGGGAAGAAAAAAAUGACGGUACCUAAUCUAAGCAUCGGCUAACUCCGUGCCAGCAGCCGCGGUAAUACG
Molecule: ribosomal RNA, 428 nt
Filed under: uncultured bacterium
Lineage: Bacteria
Description: bacterial SSU rRNA
Rfam family: Bacterial small subunit ribosomal RNA
Source: RNAcentral